This 253-nucleotide ribosomal RNA is filed under the name uncultured bacterium. Its description in RNAcentral is "partial 16S ribosomal RNA". It matches the Rfam family "Bacterial small subunit ribosomal RNA", at positions 524 to 776 of the family's 1533-position model. The record is from RNAcentral.
UACGUGGGGUGCGAGCGUUGUCCGGAUUCAUUGGGCGUAAAGGGUGUGUAGGUGGCGCGCUAAGUCGGGUGUGAAAUUUCGGAGCUUAACUCCGAAACUGCAUUCGAUACUGGCGUGCUUGAGGACUGGAGAGGAGACUGGAAUUCAUGGUGUAGCAGUGAAAUGCGUAGAGAUCAUGAGGAAGACCAGUGGCGAAGGCGGGUCUCUGGACAGUUCCUGAUACUGAGACACGAAGGCCAGGGGAGCAAACGGG